Molecule: long non-coding RNA, 2616 nt
Organism: Acinonyx jubatus (cheetah)
Lineage: Eukaryota; Metazoa; Chordata; Mammalia; Carnivora; Felidae
Exons: 2
Source: RefSeq, a predicted model, not a curated record
UCAAAGAAGCAAACCCACAAUUCCUCAGGAGUGCUUCACUUUGUUUCCUGGAGCGUUCGCACUCCAGGACGCACUGACAGGGCAGGGCUAUUCCUGUCCCUUCCUCUUCUGCACUCCGAGCGAGGGCAGUCCGCUGACAAGGAACCCAGAAACAGGGUUCCCUCAGAGGCCACUGCUAAGCCCUUCCUGAAUACAUUAACAGGAAGUCAGAUUGUAGCCCUGGGUGAAGACGCGGCAAGGUCAACAGGCAAAACCUACCAAGCCUACCUGCAAGUUCUCUCUGUUUCUAAUUACUCUGAAAAAACAAACAAACAGAAAAUGGAAUCCAUCCGACCAAGCCAGAGGAAGAAAAGAGCAGAUUUAUAAUUAGACUGCAAAGCUGCUUCUUCCAGAACCUUCAUCUGGCUGUCCUUAAUGCCCUGAGGAUUUUGGCCAUACUUGACAGAUAACAAGUAUCCUGUGUUUCUUUAUAACCAUCUGAAAGCCUGAUUCUUCUAAACAAGAAUGCAUGCUAUUUUAAAAAGAAAAUACCUCUGAAAAGGAUCUUAAAGGUGAAGAAAAUUAAGCAAAGAGAAUACUUCUGAAGCAGGCUCCUCAGUGCACAGUGCAUAACCCUGGAAACACGACGCAGACAAUGGGCGGACCGCUUCUGUGGGUUUCAGAUGCAGGCAAGCCUAACACUUACCUUCCGAUCCUCCACAACAACUUACCCAACACCUAACCCUGAUCCGAAAAAACACUAGAAGCUAAGCACUUAAAGAGUUCUGAAAUCCCACAAGAGGAGCCGGAAAACUCAAACAACACACUCCUUCUUAGCCAGAGGGAUUUUUAUGCUAUUACAGACUUCAUCUUAGAACAGCCAACUACUCCGCCCAUCUCUGAUUGGAAAGGAACUAAAAAGAAAAUGCUUUAUUUUUAAAAACACGAGUUUCUAAACCAUGACUCUGCCUUUGAACAGAAUUAAUUCUUUGGAGUGAACUUCUGUGGUCUAUAAUUACUAUGCUGACAUUUCACUUGAUUGUGAUAUCCACGUGCACACCCUUCGCAUCUCCCUUCCUCCCUCUUUCUGUUUUUGUCUCCGUCUGUCUGUCUGUCUGUCUCUUACGCGAACCAGAAUGACUCACUGUUCUGAAAGAAUUAUAAUUUUCUGCAAUGUCACGGGACACCUAAGAAUUAUAUCAGGGACAGACUUCUUAAGCUUCUAUUUUACCUGACCUCCUCUCCUGCUCAUUUAAGUAAAUUAUUUGCUGGUUUGGAAAGCAGGAGGGGGAGAAAAAUCACAGCGUCUCUGUUCUCUGUUUUGCAAAAGGAAAGGACAGGUCCUUCAGAAAAUAUCGCGAAGCAACCAUGAGAGAAAGCUGCCAGCAGCCAUGGUGGUGUACAGGGAUGGGGCGAGAAGGGGAGACAGACAGCAUGGGAACAGAAUGAGGAUCACUUAAGAGUUAAAAGAAUUUCAGGCAGUGCUGAUGCCUCUUUUUAAAAACAAGGUUGGCAAUUGCUAGUGAAUGCUACGUUAAGAAAGAUUCCAAGGCUGCCGAGGAAGAUUGCCAUGAUCCACUACGGACAUCUUUGAUGAGCAUUCGCGAUGGGAGGGCUAACGUUUAUGCCACACAUUUGUCAUCUCUGGAGGAGAACACUUAAAUCAGGGGACGAACCACAGAAUGCCAGCAGGCCCACCUACCCCAGGGAUGCCUCCCCAGCAGAGAUGCGGAGCCGUGAAGGCUAGCACGCUCCUUUUUACUCCAAAGCGGUAGCAACCUGUGUUGGAGUUGUUCGAGUAUGUGUUCUAAAUGUGGACAUUCCUCAAGUUCCUAAAACUUAUGCGUCUACUAUGAAUACAGCACAUCUGAAGGCAUCUCCUAUUUUCCCAACGCAAGAGAAAAAGCUGGAUUUGGGCUGGAGGAACUCUUAAUGGUACGUCACAGUGGGUCUCUUUUUCUAUUCCAAUCAGAUAUGAGAAGAAAAAAAAUUUUUUGACAGAAAUGCCAAUAAAUUGGGUAAAAACAGAAAACUGCUUAUGUGGCUACUAUAAAGAAUUUAUUUCUUCUCGGCCCCUUAAUAUCCACAAUGACAAAACAUUCCUGUGAUAUGUAUAUAAAGAGAUAUCGAGUGACAAGUUUAAAGUAAGAUUUUGGUUUCUUACGUGAUGUGAAAAAUAGAGAAUUAAGUCAAACUGGGGAAAAGCUGUCGUCUUCUUGCAAUGGAAUGAAACUCCAGUAGGAAGUGUGCCAAUCCAAACUACACAGGGCUGGUCCUAUACUCAGCACUGGCAUCAAAAUGUCCUGGACGAAAUCAGCACUUAGCAACCACCUCUGGUUGUCAUGGAGAUUGGAUAAUGGAGGAGGGAAAUGUGUAUGUUCAAUAACUGAUGAAACAGAGAGAGAAGAUGACACAGAAGGAACUAGGGGAAAAGAACUAAAAACUGAAAUAUGGGUUAGGAUGUGAUACACGGAAAGUGUAGAGGGUCACCAUUUUUUUUGAAGGAAUGCUACUCAUUAAUAUACAAUAAUAAUGAAUUCACAUUCACGAUAACAUAUAAACAGUUUAUCAAACAGUUAAAAAGCAUAAUGAGAAAAAAGUAACUAUAAUAUACUUUAGAAAUAAAUUUAGAAAACA